AUUGACAUGCCAGACCUUUUGAGUUCUUGCCGCUUUCCACUUUGGGUGUCAUUGGUACUCUAGGUAAGGUAAUUCAAUUGGAAGAUAGAAAUCUAGAUUUCUUAUGUUGCCUUCCUCCAUGGUGCAGCAGAAGAGAGCGGCAGUGGCAACAAGGCACACUUCUUGCGGGAAUUACGUUCUUGGAAGGCAAUAUAAAGAAUAUAGCCUUCUAGCCUUCUAGAGUGAAUUACCUUAACUAGAGCACCAAUGACACCCAUAGUGGAAAGUCGCAAAUACUCAAAAGGUUUUGGUCUU
Brachypodium distachyon (stiff brome) is the source of this 294-nucleotide non-coding RNA. Lineage: Eukaryota; Viridiplantae; Streptophyta; Magnoliopsida; Poales; Poaceae. The record is from RefSeq and is marked provisional.